GAUGAACGCUGGCGGCGUGCCUAAUACAUGCAAGUAGAACGCUGAAGCUUGGUGCUUGCACCGAGCGGAUGAGUUGCGAACGGGUGAGUAACGCGUAGGUAACCUGCCUCUUAGCGGGGGAUAACUAUUGGAAACGAUAGCUAAUACCGCAUAAAAGUCGACAUCGCAUGAUGUUGACUUGAAAGGUGCAAUUGCAUCACUAAGAGAUGGACCUGCGUUGUAUUAGCUAGUUGGUGAGGUAACGGCUCACCAAGGCGACGAUACAUAGCCGACCUGAGAGGGUGAUCGGCCACACUGGGACUGAGACACGGCCCAGACUCCUACGGGAGGCAGCAGUAGGGAAUCUUCGGCAAUGGGGGCAACCCUGACCGAGCAACGCCGCGUGAGUGAAGAAGGUUUUCGGAUCGUAAAGCUCUGUUGUAAGAGAAGAACGAGUGUGAGAGUGGAAAGUUCACACUGUGACGGUAACUUACCAGAAAGGGACGGCUAACUACGUGCCAGCAGCCGCGGUAAUACGUAGGUCCCGAGCGUUAUCCGGAUUUAUUGGGCGUAAAGCGAGCGCAGGCGGUUAGAUAAGUCUGAAGUUAAAGGCUGUGGCUUAACCAUAGUACGCUUUGGAAACUGUUUAACUUGAGUGCAUAAGGGGAGAGUGGAAUUCCAUGUGUAGCGGUGAAAUGCGUAGAUAUAUGGAGGAACACCGGUGGCGAAAGCGGCACUCUGGUCUGUAACUGACGCUGAGGCUCGAAAGCGUGGGGAGCAAACAGG
RNAcentral lists this ribosomal RNA (765 nucleotides) under uncultured Streptococcus sp. RNAcentral's name for it is "bacterial SSU rRNA". It matches the Rfam family "Bacterial small subunit ribosomal RNA", at positions 28 to 776 of the family's 1533-position model. Lineage: Bacteria; Bacillati; Bacillota; Bacilli; Lactobacillales; Streptococcaceae. The record is from RNAcentral.